Phascolarctos cinereus (koala) is the source of this 2427-nucleotide long non-coding RNA. RefSeq lists it as uncharacterized. Lineage: Eukaryota; Metazoa; Chordata; Mammalia; Diprotodontia; Phascolarctidae. The record is from RefSeq and is a predicted model, not a curated record.
CUCACUUGAUGUACUGUAUUCAGUUCUGGGCACCACAUUUUAAGAAGGAUGUUGAUAAGAAGAAGAGUGUCCAGAGAAGACCAUCUGGGAUGAGGAAGGGUAUUGAGUGUAAGCCAUCUGAGGAUGGGUUGAAGAAACUGACCAUGGUUACAGAAACUCAGGAUUUGAAGAAUUAUCAUAUGGAGGAUGACCAGGAACAGUGGAUGAAAGCAACAAUAAGAGGGCCUCAUCAUAUGCUUGCUCUGAAUAGCUGAAGCAGCAAAGUUGGUGGGGAGGUCCCCAGACUUUCCUCUGUGAGGAAGGAGGGGGAAAAGAACAAAAUUCUCUAUCUCCCACAUCCACUGCAGAAAGGGUUUCCCCCUCCUCAGACCCACGUUUGGAGAAUCAGAGUCUGGAGGCAGGAAUGAAGAGUGACGUUUCCUAAGCCAUUUCCAGGAGAGCCUCGUUUGGUAUUUGGCAUUUAGCUGCUUUCCAAACACAAAUUCCUCAAAGUCUGAACUGAAUAGGGGAGAUAACUGAAGGCUGGGGAAUGCUCUGAAGACAGCCUGGUUGCAUUUCCAGCCACAGAAGGCUAAUCACACGGAGACUGAGCCCUGUGAUGUGGGAUCAAAUGGGAGGUAUUCUCCACCACUAGCAGUUUUGCAAGUAAUGAAACCCUCUGCUAUGGAAUUGGACUCCAGCUGGAGCAAGUAUGAUUUUCCCCGAUGUGGGCAACAGGUUGGCAGGUGCCAUCCAGCAUACCAGAUAGUCUAGGAUUGUAGGGACAGGAACCACCCUAUAGCAUGAUGAGUUCUAGAUUUGGGAUAAGUCACUGGGGUUCACCCAGAAAUGAGAAGGAAUAUCAUUCUCAUCUAAAGAUCAUUUUAAAAAAAAGAUUUUGUCCCAGCCCUACUUAUUCUUCUGGAGUGAAGGUGUACUGUUGGAGGGAUGCCUUUCCCCAGAGGUGUUCUAAUGGAGAGGGGAAAUGAACCCUGACUUCACAUCCUAGACAUCACCCUGAGUGAUUCCUAGGCUACUAAGGAAUUCCAGGUUCAGAAGAUAGAAGGUCUGUUAUUUCUACCCCUGGGAAAAUGACGAUAGCCCUGACCUGGAUGAGUUAAGGCUUUAAAAAUCCCUUUUUGGGGUAGGAAGAGAGGAAAUAUAGUUCAGGAUCAUUACAGGGAUGUCUUCAUGCUCUACCAAGGCUUUUUUAUGUAAAGCAAGAGCCUUUUAAUUGAUAAUUUUCCUUCCCUGGACACCUAUAAAAGAGAUUAAGUUAUGCACUCUAGAUAUAGCUGUUAACAUGCUUAAGACCACCCAUAGGCUGCCUGUACAUGUGAUUGACAUAUGAAACAUUUUCUUCAUAUAAUUUAAUCCAUUCUUUGUGAAUAGAGAAAAAGAAUUAUUAAUGGUAUGUAUUUUCUCAGAUUUAAUAUAGAGGGAUCUGUUACUCCCAUGUGAAAAGAUUACUAAACUAUAGGAAAUAAAGUGCCUACCUGCAGAUACUAGAUGUGAAUGAGUCCUACUAAUAGCUAACAGUCCUUUUUAUGCCAUAACAGCCAUCAUAUUUUUGCAAGAUCAUACUAAAGAGGGGCAGAGGGAAAAGAGAAUAUAAUAUUUGAGUUCUCCUUGAUUAUAAAUUGCUGUAAAUAAUGGCAGUGUGAUGUAAUAUGGGAAAAGAGUAGAACUUGAGAAUCUGGGGAGAUGUGGGUCCAAAUCCUGGCUCUGACACAUACUGGCUGAAUGACCCAGGGCCAGUCACUUACCCCCUCUCUAAAACUAUAAACUGCAAAACAGUUAAUGAUUUGCAUUGGUAGAGGUAGUUUCCUGACCAGGAGGUCCCUACAACAGUAAAAUAAUAGAUCUGGAGGAAAAAAUGAAAACAACAUAAUGUUCCCCCUCAUAAUCUUGGUCUCACUCUUCCACACAUUUAAUAAAAAGAGUAGAUAAAGAGUAGAUUUUCAAAAGCAUCAUGCAUGCAGCAUCUACACCUGAGGAACACAUGGAGGUAUAGGGCAUCUACCUUACCCAGCAAGUCACCACUUUAUGGAUGCUGCUGUAAAAGACAAUAAUGCAAAUUCUUCCUUUCUUAGAGGCCAAGUUUUUUGGACUUCGUUUUUUUGGUCAUUUUCCAGUGAAAAACACUAACCUCCCUCACAAAGAGAAACAAAGACAAAGGGAAUGUGUACACCCAGGGCAUACUCAUGGAAGGGUAACUCAUUCUUUAAUACUGCAAAACUGCCAAUAAAAAAAACUUUUAAUUUAAGUUUUAUAGAUGUUUUGGUUUUACAUUAGAAAUAUUUGCCGAUUGCUCCCACUUCAUGAGAGAUCUCUUACUACAAAAUAAGAGUAGAGCAAAACUAAUGAGAUACAAUGACUUCAUCUGAAAGUGCAGACAACAUUUCACAUCUGUAGCACACCCUUCCAUCUCUCUAAUUUGAAAAAAAU